UGAUUAGUGGCGAACGGGUGAGUAACACGUGAGUAACCUGCCCCUGACUCUGGGAUAAGCGUUGGAAACGACGUCUAAUACUGGAUACGAUCACCGGCCGCAUGGUCUGGUGGUGGAAAGAUUUUUUGGUUGGGGAUGGACUCGCGGCCUAUCAGCUUGUUGGUGAGGUAAUGGCUCACCAAGGCGACGACGGGUAGCCGGCCUGAGAGGGUGACCGGCCACACUGGGACUGAGACACGGCCCAGACUCCUACGGGAGGCAGCAGUGGGGAAUAUUGCACAAUGGGCGAAAGCCUGAUGCAGCAACGCCGCGUGAGGGAUGACGGCCUUCGGGUUGUAAACCUCUUUUAGUAGGGAAGAAGCGAAAGUGACGGUACCUGCAGAAAAAGCACCGGCUAACUACGUGCCAGCAGCCGCGGUAAUACGUAGGGUGCAAGCGUUGUCCGGAAUUAUUGGGCGUAAAGAGCUCGUAGGCGGUUUGUCGCGUCUGCUGUGAAAUCCCGAGGCUCAACCUCGGGCUUGCAGUGGGUACGGGCAGACUAGAGUGCGGUAGGGGAGAUUGGAAUUCCUGGUGUAGCGGUGGAAUGCGCAGAUAUCAGGAGGAACACCGAUGGCGAAGGCAGAUCUCUGGGCCGUAACUGACGCUGAGGAGCGAAAGCAUGGGGAGCGAACAGGAUUAGAUACCCUGGUAGUCCAUGCCGUAAACGUUGGGCGCUAGAUGUAGGGACCUUUCCACGGUUUCUGUGUCGUAGCUAACGCAUUAAGCGCCCCGCCUGGGGAGU
This 781-nucleotide ribosomal RNA is filed under the name Curtobacterium sp. RNAcentral describes it as "bacterial SSU rRNA". It matches the Rfam family "Bacterial small subunit ribosomal RNA", at positions 89 to 881 of the family's 1533-position model. The record is from RNAcentral. Lineage: Bacteria; Bacillati; Actinomycetota; Actinomycetes; Micrococcales; Microbacteriaceae.